UUGUCCUUCUCCUUUCUUAUCUUAUCUUAUACUUCAGAUUACACCAUUUAAAAUAAAUAAAUAAAUAAAUAUUAUCUGUAAGUAAAAUCUUACAUUUCAUCAUCCGAAAAUUUUUAUUAGUAUUUUAACAAAUAAAUUGAUAAAAUUGGUGAUUAAAUUCAGACCUUUAGAUGUUCAGAAUAUAAAUUUUAUACUUAUUUUAUAGGUGUAUGAUAAUUAAAUAGUAUUAUCUGUUUUUUACCUAGAAAGUUUCUAUUGUAUUGGUUAUACCACAUUGGAUAUAUUUUUAAACUGAAAUUGUUAUGUCAUCUAAGAUAAUAAAGAAUCUAAUAGGACAUAAUUUAAAAAAUUUUAUAUUAAAAUGAUGUUAAAAAAAAUUACUCGUAUAUCUUUUUGCUUUGAGAAGAUUUUGAUUGAAUAUAUUAUUAUUUUUAUUUAAAAU
This 442-nucleotide long non-coding RNA is filed under the name Ananas comosus (pineapple). RNAcentral's name for it is "long non-coding RNA (ACOM_LNC027438)". The record is from RNAcentral. Lineage: Eukaryota; Viridiplantae; Streptophyta; Magnoliopsida; Poales; Bromeliaceae.